RNAcentral lists this ribosomal RNA (617 nucleotides) under uncultured Cortinariaceae. RNAcentral's name for it is "eukaryotic LSU rRNA". It matches the Rfam family "Eukaryotic large subunit ribosomal RNA", at positions 53 to 651 of the family's 3401-position model. Lineage: Eukaryota; Fungi; Basidiomycota; Agaricomycetes; Agaricales; Cortinariaceae. The record is from RNAcentral.
GAGGAAAAGAAACUAACAAGGAUUCCCCUAGUAACUGCGAGUGAAGCGGGAAAAGCUCAAAUUUAAAAUCUGGCGGUCUUAUGGCUGUCCGAGUUGUAAUCUAGAGAAGUGUUAUCCGCGCUGGACCGUGUACAAGUCUCCUGGAAUGGAGCAUCAUAGAGGGUGAGAAUCCCGUCUUUGACAUGGACUGCCAGGGCUUUGUGAUGCGCUCUCAAAGAGUCGAGUUGUUUGGGAAUGCAGCUCAAAAUGGGUGGUAAAUUCCAUCUAAAGCUAAAUAUUGGCGAGAGACCGAUAGCGAACAAGUACCGUGAGGGAAAGAUGAAAAGAACUUUGGAAAGAGAGUUAAACAGUACGUGAAAUUGCUGAAAGGGAAACGCUUGAAGUCAGUCGCGUCAUCCAGGGAUCAACCUUGCUUUUGCUUGGUGCACUUUCUGGUUUGAUGGGUCAGCAUCAAUUUUGACUAUUGGAAAAAGGUUAAGGGAAUGUGGCAUCUUUGGAUGUGUUAUAGCCCUUGGUCGCAUACAAUGGUUGGGAUUGAGGAACUCAGCACGCCGCAAGGCCGGGUUUUUAACCACGUACGUGCUUAGGAUGCUGGCAAUAUGGCUUUAAUCGACCCG